Molecule: long non-coding RNA, 858 nt
Organism: Mustela erminea (ermine)
Lineage: Eukaryota; Metazoa; Chordata; Mammalia; Carnivora; Mustelidae
Exons: 4
Source: RefSeq, a predicted model, not a curated record
GCCAGCCCCCGCCGACAGGUGCUGGUCCCCGUUCCUCGGGCCGGCCGGCCCCACCCUCCUGGGAGCGGGCUCCCCACCCCAGUCCGCGGCUCUAAAUCCCACAGCCUCCUGCCCGCGCCCCCGGCCCUUUCCUCCAGCCCAGCCCGGCCCCAUUUUCUCCGGGCGUGGACCCAGUUCCCCUCCCCGAGGUACCGGGCGCAUCCCGCCCCCGCCCCGGAGGGAAGAUGCACGUGAACAAAGCGAAUCGGGGGAGGCCGAAACGGCAGAAAAAGGCAACAAGACAGAGGGAAAGAGCAUGGAUGUCAGGAAGCAGUCGAGAGAAGGGAAGAUUGCCCUCUGGCUGGCCAGAAGGGGUCAGGAGCAUCAUGUGGUUUCUGCCCUUCUGGAAUAUAUUGUCUAGCUGCAAAGGAAAGAAGAUGGAAUGAUGGAGGGAAAGAAGCAGGAGGAGAAGAAAGAGGAGGAGGAGGAGGAGAAGGGCUUUCCAUCCCAAGUAAUUUAUGGGAUUCCCUGAGGAAAGUCUAUGUUUCACAGAUGUCCGGGCUCACUCAUCAGGUAAGUUUGGCUCUCAAUGAAAUCACGAUAUUAAUGAGUCUAUUUCCAAACUCUAAAAAUAGAGGACUUUGGCCGAAUGCCCAAGUAUGGCAUUGGUACUUCCUAACUGGUCCCUUUUGGAACACGCUGGGGUGGAAUGAUGUUUCCCCCUUCUCUGUGGUUGCUGUUUCAUGCCCCUAAUCUCCUAUGGAUAGCUCUUGGACAGAAGGAAUAGAACCGAGUUCAGAAACAGUACUGUCUAGGGGUGCCUAGGUGGCUCAGUUGGUGAAGUGUCUGAUUUUUUAGCCUAGGUCUUGAUCUCAGGGU